Oncorhynchus kisutch (coho salmon) is the source of this 4862-nucleotide long non-coding RNA. RefSeq lists it as uncharacterized. The record is from RefSeq and is a predicted model, not a curated record. The transcript is spliced from 7 exons. Lineage: Eukaryota; Metazoa; Chordata; Actinopteri; Salmoniformes; Salmonidae.
GUUUCACCUCUUCAGAGGAAGAGGAGGAAAUCUGCCGUGACAGAGUCAAAUAUUUACACAGAUACCGGAACUUGUGAAUUCAAUUGAGACUAACAGAGCCGAGCCCUUCCAUGGAAAAUACUAAAUUCUUAUAUUACAGAGUCCUGCCUUAAAAGUAUUCUGUCUUUUCAUAACAUAUAGAGUCCCCUCCCUCUAUAUGAAAAUAGCUUCCCUUGACCUUUCUCUACCAUUAUCUUUCCAUCUCAGUUCUUGCUUGUUAACGCCCACAUCUGACAGCCGUAUAUGUUAUAAUGGUAGCGGGGCCCUGGUCCUAUAUGUUCCAUUCCUUAUUCUGUCUCAGCUCUUCAAAGUGGACAGCCUAGAUGCUGCUAAUAACGCAAAUGUAAUCAUAGUCAUGAGUUUUGCUCCCACAAUACCCCAAAAAACUUGUCUGGGACAGCGAAACCAGGGCCAAAACCACGUAGCGUACACCCGACUUAAAACAGGCUCAAAAGUCCUCCCUCUGGACCAGCGAUCACUCGCAUGUUCCACACCACCUAUAAAACACAAUGACUUGAGCAGAGAAAGAAAAUGCGUGUUAAUAAUUUCACACCACCCUUGAUGAGAAUUAGUUUGGGGCAAGGACCACCUACCCGAUUUGUUCCAAGCCAAUGGGAUGUUAGAUCUUCUGCUGGGCUCUGUGAAAAUGGGACUCUAUUGGUUUCCCUCACACGUUACCCCAGACUUCCCUUCAGAUCAUUAGAGAGAACACACUCGCUCCCUCUCCUUCGUCCUCGUACUUGGGUGUCAUAGCAAACUACGAGUUUUGUAAUUACUUAAUUGCACCAUGUAGUCCGGAAAGCCAUACGUAUGGCUUUAACAUUAAGGAUUUGAUGGCAUGGUAAAAUAAGGCCCCUUCCAUUAAGAUAACAAUUUUGUCUAGCAUUGCCCAAGCUGUAUAUUCAACUAUCCACAUAAUUUGUCCCUUAGUCCAUGACCAUGUGGUUACUACUGCAUCUCGAACAGAUUUGGCUAUCCCUUUUACACUUCCACCCUCCACAACUGCAGUCACUAUCAAUGACACGGUGAAUCUAUUCACGCUGCUAGUCGAAACUCGUAAUGAAUUCAAUUUGAGUGACAUUCACUUCCCUUAUAGGUUUGUCAUUCACCACUAGUGCCUUGGUGAACACUUCACCAUGGUUGGAAGGUGCUGUUAUCGCCUGUUCACCCGUGUCUGAGUCUAACACCCCAUAAGAUUGUUUAUCUGCUUCUAGGCUCUUCCAUUAGAUAACCGUCUGUUCCAAAAUGAUGCUGCCAGUAGUGUUUUGCUCGCACAUAUUGGUCAAUUUAGGGGCUCGUAAGGGGAUUGUUUAGCGGCUCGUAAGUAAGCAUUUCACUGUAACGACUACACCUGUUGUAUUCGGUGCAUGUGACUAAUGAUUUGAUUUGAUCAACGAGUUUCACUACUACGUUUUGUUAGCGUAUUGCUCGGUUAACAUGUUUCUUAGAGUUGUGUUAUCCCAGCACAGAAUUUUAUUGGGUAGGAGAAGCUUUCCCCCCCCAAAGAGAGUCUGUGUUUCCAUCUUUAACUUGAUACACUAUCGGCAUUUGGGGAACAAACAUUCUUUUGACUACUCAGCCCUGAGCUACUUUCAGAAGGCUGAACAUCUAUGACUUGUCUGGGGUGGGUUUCCUGCUCCCUUCUCUCGAGGAGGAUGUGAAAGCAUAUGGUUUCAAGAGUGUCAUUUUCACCGCUUCCUCCACACUAGGGCGGUGUUGCCGCAGGUACAGUAGGAGGGACGGUCUCAUCUAGUUCUUCAGACAUGAAGUGCCGUUCUGCUCUCUCCAGAUCCAUUUCUGCAACACAACGACUCCGCCCGGGGCAGAACCCACCCUCGGAGUACUGGGCUGCGUGGUUUGAUAAGGGUCGGCCUGACAUCCUCAUCUCAGAGUCUACCUACGCCACAACCUCCCGUGACUCAGGGGAAGGGACUUCCUGAAGAAAGUACAUGAGACAGUGGAGAGAGGAGGAAAGGUUCUGAUACCAGUCUUUGCCCUGGGAAGAGCUCAGGAACUGUGCAUUCUAUUGGAAACAUUCUGGGGAGCGGAUGAACAUGAAGGCCCCCCAUCUACUUCUCCACAGGGCUCACAGAGAAAGCCAAUCACCUCUACAAACUCUUCAUCACCUGGACCGAUCAGAAAACCCUUUGAACAGAGAAACACGUUUGAGUUCAAACACAUCAAGGCCUUUGAUCGCUCCUACGCAGACAACCAAGGACCAAUGGGGCAGAAACAUCAUAUUUUUGUGGAGUACAUGUCGUUCAGCGCCCAUGCAGACGCUAAGGGCAUCAUGCAGCUCUUCCGCAUGGCAGAGUCUCGCAACAUGCUGCUGGUGCACGGAGAGGCCAGCCAAGAAGAUGGAGUUCUUCAAGUUCUUCAAGAUCGAGCAGUUCAGGGAGUGACACCAGGAUGUCCUUGUAACCCUAACUGUAUCAAGAAUGCCAGGGGUUUAGAGAAAAGGAAUUGCAGUGUGUGCCACAUGUUUGAGGAGCUCUGGGUAGUUUUUAGUAGUAGGGCACAGCAAAAUGUUUUGCAACAGAAAACAACAGUCUUCUUAUUAGACAAGUUCACAUUUCGCAGUGGGGAGAAAAAGGUUUUCUCCCCACUGAACAGCCCGGGUAUUAUCCAUUUAUUUUGAUCAGUGUUCAUUGUUUGUGGAUUUGUAAAAAGUUAUUUAAUACAGUCGAUGCACUGAAAUGAAACGUCCGAAAAUUGGAUUAUAGUGAUGUUUGUGAGAUCAGACAUAAUAAUGUAAAAUAUGUUUAGAUAGGUGUAACCUAGAGCCACGUGUGUUGAAUUUUAAUCUGAGGGUAUCCUGUUAUUGACACACUUGUUGAAUUAUGCAAGAGAAUGUGACAACUAAUUAAUGAGGCAGUCUAGACCGCACAUGCGAGUGCAGGUAGUGUAGACAGAGCAAAUGUUGUUUGGUGUUUGUAGCCAUGUCCCUCCCCUUUAUGUUAAUUUAUUCAUAUAUGCAAAGGAACCAAUGUAUUUAUUCAGAUGAGACACAAAUAUCCUGAUUUUUAACAAACACACAAUAAAGACCUGAUUCAAUAAGAUAAAGUAUACAUGAGUGCAUUCUAAGACAAAAAGAAGUGACAUUUGGGUAUUGAAUACCUGAAUUCCCACCCGAAUCACUGAAUUCCAUUCAUUAUUUGUACUUACCAGUCAAAUGUUUUAUGUGCUAGAAUUCAGUCGAUAUCUGACAAAUGACAAAAAUUUGAAUAGUUUGGAGUAUCUUCAUGCAUUGUCCAAGAAUGUUGCAUUUAUUACAAUUGUUUUUAAAACCUUAACAAUUUAGAUGACCAGUUGCUAGUGUUUGUAAUUCAGGGUGUUUUAUUCUCUGCCUUUGGCCUUGCAAGUUUUUGUCCUAUUAUUGCCCUUGGUUCACUUCUCCCCCAUUUGUUCCCCUGCUCUCCCUGGGUGUAGAGUCUUCGGCUGGUCUCUCCAGAGCAAGCUCUUAAUGAGCUGGGCCUCAACGUGCACCAGCUCCACUUCACUUGCCGAGUGCAGCCCCACGACACUCACAGUGACCCCGACACCCCCAUCAGGAUCCACACACACCUCAAUAGUCUACUGAAAGGUUACACCAUCCAGCACCUCCCAGGCUCUUCAGCUGAAGAGCUAUCAGGAUGAAGAUCUGGGGAGCUUUCUGUCUACUCUGCUGAAGAAAGGACUUCCAUCGCGAUUGUCUUCAAUAUGAUCCCAUUGUUCAGUGUAGCUUUCUGUAAAGGUUCGUAUGUCUAUUGUACAAAGCUUGAAUACAUACAGUUGAAGUCGGAAGUUUACAUACACUUAUGUUGGAGUCAUUAAAACUCGUUGUUCAACCACUCCACAAAUGUCUUGUUAACAAACUAUAGUUUUGGCAAGUCGGUUAGGACAUCUCCUUUGUGCUUCUGACCCACUGGGAAUGUGAUGAAAGAAAAUCUGAAAUAAAUCAUUCUCUCUACUAUUAUUCUGACAGUUCACAUUCUUAAAAUAAAGUGGUGAUCCUAACUGACCUAAGACAGGGAAUUUUACUAGGAUUAAAUGUCAUGAAUUGUGAAAAACUGAGUUUAAAUGUAUUUGGCUAAGGUGUAUGUAAACUUCCAACUUCAACUCUACAUGUUUGCAAAGGUUGGUGGUUUACGAUGGCUUCAGAGUUUGUGAGUAGAAUAUAAAAAGCAUACAAUUACAUUAGCUGAUUGGAUACAGUUGGAGCUAGUGUAUCCAAACCAUUCACUGUCCCACAGCAAUGGUAUAGAGCCCCCUAUUCCUCCUGGCCCAAAUCCAUCUGAACCUGGCCAUGGAGGGACUCCACUUACAGCGACUAGUGGUGAAGUAGUAGAGCAGGGGGUCCAGACAGCUGUUGAGGCUGACCAGAGCCAGAGUCACCUGCCGGGCAUUGUAGAUGGCAUUGGCAUAGGGACAGUGAUGGAUGGCCCCUUGACGGCGGAGCAGGUGCAGGAAGUGAACCACAUGGUACGGCAGGAAGCAGAGCAGGGUGAUAGCCAGGAUGGUGUAGAUGACCCUCAGGGCUCCGCGGGCCGUGUUGGUCCGGAUGAGAGCGAUGCGCCGUGCCACCAGAGGGUAACACACCAGGAUGACCACAGAGGGCAGUAGCGAGCCGAAGACGAGACUGAAUAAGCUGUACGGCGCCACACGCCUGUCCCACUCGUGCUUUGAAAAGUUCUCAAAGCAGCUACGGCGCUGGGGGCGACCUUCGCCAGGUUUGCUGUCCAGAGGUCCCACUCGGAUGAAGGACAGAACAGCCACCCCCGCCACCACCCACACCGCCACACUCACCACUACAGUAUAACAUGAGUUCCGGAGCCUCAGAUAGA